Molecule: non-coding RNA, 578 nt
Filed under: Pongo abelii (Sumatran orangutan)
Lineage: Eukaryota; Metazoa; Chordata; Mammalia; Primates; Hominidae
Source: RNAcentral
GGGCAAGUUAGUUGCUCCAAAUACAAGAUAAAGUGAUUGAGUUCUUUUCUCAAGCGGGAGUCGGAGUUUAUCCACUCUUAGAAAUAUUGAUGAUAAAGAGGAAACUAACUUUCUGAACCAUUAAAUGUGAUAUCAUUUAUCUCACCAAAUCCCAAGAUAGAGCCCCAGCAGCUACUAUUAAUGAGUGUCUGGAAUAUGUUCCUGGCAUUUCACCUACACUCUCUCCAAUCCUUCCAAGAAACUCACAAAGCAGGGCUUUUUCUUGAACUUCUCUUCCUCACAACAGUUAAAUCAUCCAUUUAAAGAUGUCAGACAAGCUCUGUGUUCUAAGCCAGACCAUCAAUUUAACUUGUAAAACUACCAACUGUUGCUACACACAGGCAAAGGAAUUAAACUUGGUAGCUGAUCAUUUGAUUACAUCUAUCAGUCUACUGGAGGGCUUCAACGCAGAGUAGGUGGAAUUCAUGGUUCAAAUCAGAGUAUUAAUGGGAUCUGUUUGCACACCAAUACCUGAUCUCCUUGGCACAAAUACAGAGCUGAUUCUUAAAGCAUGUCCCCACAAUAAAGCUUUUCUUAAU